AGAGUUUAUCCUGGCUCAGGACGAACGCUGGCGGCACGCUUAACACAUGCAAGUCGAACGAGAGAAGAGAAGCUUGCUUUUCUGAUCUAGUGGCGGACGGGUGAGUAACACGUGAGCAAUCUGCCUUUCAGAGGGGGAUACCGAUUGGAAACGAUCGUUAAUACCGCAUAACAUAAUUGAACCGCAUGAUUUGAUUAUCAAAGAUUUAUCGCUGAAAGAUGAGCUCGCGUCUGAUUAGCUAGUUGGUAAGGUAACGGCUUACCAAGGCGACGAUCAGUAGCCGGACUGAGAGGUUGAUCGGCCACAUUGGGACUGAGACACGGCCCAGACUCCUACGGGAGGCAGCAGUGGGGAAUAUUGCACAAUGGAGGAAACUCUGAUGCAGCGAUGCCGCGUGAGGGAAGAAGGUUUUAGGAUUGUAAACCUCUGUCUUCAGGGACGAAAAAAAGACGGUACCUGAGGAGGAAGCUCCGGCUAACUACGUGCCAGCAGCCGCGGU
RNAcentral lists this ribosomal RNA (499 nucleotides) under uncultured Ruminococcus sp. RNAcentral describes it as "bacterial SSU rRNA". It matches the Rfam family "Bacterial small subunit ribosomal RNA", at positions 8 to 521 of the family's 1533-position model. The record is from RNAcentral. Lineage: Bacteria; Bacillati; Bacillota; Clostridia; Eubacteriales; Oscillospiraceae.